UACGGGGGGCUGCAGUAGGGAAUAUUGGACAAUGGGCGAAAGCCUGAUCCAGCCAUGCCGCGUGAGUGACGAAGGCCUUCGGGUUGUAAAGCUCUUUUGGCGGGGACGAUAAUGACGGUACCCGCAGAAUAAGCUCCGGCUAACUUCGUGCCAGCAGCCGCGGUAAUACGAAGGGAGCUAGCGUUGUUCGGAAUCACUGGGCGUAAAGCGCACGUAGGCGGAUGUGUCAGUCAGGGGUGAAAUCCCGGAGCUCAACUUCGGAACUGCCUUUGAUACAGCACAUCUGGAGUCCGGAAGAGGUGGGUGGAAUUCCUAGUGUAGAGGUGAAAUUCGUAGAUAUUAGGAAGAACACCGGUGGCGAAGGCGGCCCACUGGUCCGGUACUGACGCUGAGGUGCGAAAGCGUGGGGAGCAAACAGGAUUAGAUACCCUAGU
Molecule: ribosomal RNA, 434 nt
Filed under: uncultured Alphaproteobacteria bacterium
Lineage: Bacteria; Pseudomonadati; Pseudomonadota; Alphaproteobacteria
Description: bacterial SSU rRNA
Rfam family: Bacterial small subunit ribosomal RNA
Source: RNAcentral